CCUACGGGUGGCAGCAGUGGGGGAUAUUGCACAAUGGGGGGAACCCUGAUGCAGCGACGCCGCGUGGGUGAAGAAGGGCCUCGGCGCGUAAAGCCCUGUCAGCAGGGAAGAAAAGGACGGUACCUGAAGAAGAAGCCACGGCUAACUACGGGCCAGCAGCGGCGGCAAGACGUAGGGGGCAAGCGGUAUCCGGAUUGACUGGGUGUAAAGGGGGCGCAGAGGGGGCUGCAAGCCAGGAGUGAAGGCCCGGGGCGCAACCCCGGGACUGCUCUUGGAACUGCGUGGCUGGAGUGCAGGAGGGGCAGGCGGAAUUCCUGGUGUAGCGGUGAAAUGCGUAGAUAUCAGGAGGAACACCGGUGGCGAAGGCGGCCUGCUGGACUGCAACUGACGUUGAGGCCCGAAAGCGUGGGGAGCAAACAGGAUUAGAUACCCUUGUAGUC
RNAcentral lists this ribosomal RNA (440 nucleotides) under uncultured bacterium. RNAcentral describes it as "partial 16S ribosomal RNA". It matches the Rfam family "Bacterial small subunit ribosomal RNA", at positions 338 to 795 of the family's 1533-position model. The record is from RNAcentral.